Chinchilla lanigera (long-tailed chinchilla) is the source of this 4842-nucleotide long non-coding RNA. Ensembl annotates it as coiled-coil domain containing 102B. The record is from Ensembl. Lineage: Eukaryota; Metazoa; Chordata; Mammalia; Rodentia; Chinchillidae.
UACAAACUAGAGGUAAAGAAAUGGAUUAUUCAUUCAGGUUUUGAUAAAAAGUUAUUUAGUUUGAAGCACAAAGCGAAGUAAAGAUAACAAAAAGGCCUCUAUAUUGAGAGACAGAGGGAGUCAUACAUCAUUACAUAAAAUUGGGAUUAACUUUCGUCAGAAUACUUCCCACAGCUUAGCAGUGUCGUUGGAAAGCCAUUCCACCCCUCCACACUGCACCAGAGGCCGGAGAGCUCUCUCAGAAGGCCAUGGAGACUGAAGCUAACAACUUCUGCCAGCAGGACUGAGGCCUUAAAAGAAAAAUUCAAAUUUAGAUUCCAUUCAUCAAUUAAUUGAGGAAUCACAAAUAUUCUAGAUGCAGCAGUCAUCAAUUAAACCACGCAGUGACAAGGUAGUCCCUACCUCCUUUCCCAAGGAUCCCAUUCAUUCCGAUUUUCCACGUUAUGGACUGCAAUCUACUGCCCGCCACAGUUACGGUGCGCACUCAUUCAGCACCAACAGCUGGGAUAUCCAUGAAGAGCGUCAGCUUUGGGAACUUGAAGAAGUCAAGGCUAGAGCCGCUCAGAUGGAAAAGACUAUGCGAUGGUGGUCAGACUGCACUGCCAACUGGAGAGAAAAAUGGAGUAAAGUUCGAGCAGAAAGGAACAGUGCCAGGGAGGAAGGAAGACAACUCAGAAUAAAAUUAGAGAUGACAGUGAAGGAGUUGAAUGAACUUAAAAAGAAACAAAGUCUGUCACUUCAGAGGAAGGCAUCACAAGCUAACGUCACCCAGGACCUGGAGUUUCCUACUAUUAUAAACAUGGCCUACGACAAUAGAGCUCCAUUUCAAACUACUUCACAAAUGCAUGAAUUUACUGGAGAGUGUUUGAUGGAAAGACAGUUUCCUACAGAGAAGGCAAACGAUAAGAUCAUUGGUUCUGGAAACGGUGCUGUGGUCCCUGGACUCAGGCUGCAAGUGAUAAAUCUGCCUUUGGAGGAGGAAGGAACUAAAAUCUCAGCUCUGCAGAUCCAUUUGAACGAGUUCCAGCAAUCUUUGUGGAAAGAAAGAGAAAUGCGUACAGCUUUGGAAAAAGAAUUAGAACAAAUGGCGUCUGCUUUGUCUCUGUGGAAACGGAAGUAUGACGACCUGAGAGGAUCGAAGGCAUCAGAUGGGAAAGAGUUUGGCAUUCGUCAUGGUCUACGUGAAAAUGAAAUGGAACGAAUAGCAGGAGAUACAAAGGAAGAACAUAAUUCUCAAAACAACAACGAUAGAGUCAUCUUUGAGUUAAGAUCAGAGCUAGAGAGACUGCAAGCUGAAAAUACCUCAGGGUGGAACAACACAAAAUUACUUGCAACAGAAAAGCAAGGACUGGAGAGAGAAAAUAGAAGACUAAAAGUCCAGUUGAAAGAAAUGGAAGAGCUCCUGGAUAGGAAAAACAGAUUAAGUGCAAAUUUUAAAGAUCCUGACUUGAAGACAUCACAGAUUGAACUGCAAGAAAAGAACAAGGUCUGGUGUUCUUGGAAGCGCCUGUUCUCUUACUGUGUGUUUUCUUCUGAGGCCUAGGUGGAUGCUGCUUUCACCUUUGUCCACCUCCAAAUCUGAAUAUUGCUUUUUUGGGCUAACGUCUGAUGGCUAGCUCUUUUCUCUGUUGUCAUAAAAAUAACAUUGCUCAUGUAUCUGAAACAGAGUGUAGCAAAUUUUGGAUGAAAAUGUGAGAGUAUGAUAAAGGAAGAAAAGACAAAUCUUGUUUUGUUUUGUUUUCCAUUAUAGCUUUGUGUUAGCAGUUUUCAAACUAUUAUCUUAUUUCCAGUAAAUGUGCUUAUCUAGUAAUUUGAGCACCUACACAGCAGCAUUUAUUGGUACCUAUGAUAAGUAUUUACAUAAACACUUAAAUUUACCUGAGGUUUACUGUUCUCUGAUUCCCUUUUUGUCUGAGAAUCAUUAUUUUGAGUGAAUUGUGUCUUAUUUUUUUGCAAAGAGAUGUUAUAAUUAUAGCAAAACUAAGACAACCAAGAUUAAUAAAAUUAACUUGGGCAAAUUUAAAUUGUUUGCAUAUUUUCCCUUUAAGCCAAUAGAGAUGGGGCUGUAGAUGGGAACAUUUUUCUUUCUUAAAUAAAUAAUUUACAGAUUUUAAAAUGUACUUUCAGUGACAGAUAAUGUUAUAAUUUGUAUAGUUUACUAUAAAUAGGCUAUAAUAUAUAUACACUUUGUUUCCAAAUUCUUCCAUUAAAGUAUCUACCAUAUUUGAAUGUAUAAUUCUAUUUUUUCAAUUUAUUUUAACAACUUUAAAAGUGACUGAUAAUUUCAUAGUUGUGAAUUGUGUACAUUGUUCAUACUAAUACAAGCUCUAACAGCCAAAUGGCCAAAAAAUUAAUUCAAUAUCACUUUUCCUAACUCUUUUAUGAAUUUCAGGGUGUAUCACAAAUGCAGGAUGAAAAUGCAUUAGUGCAUCAUGACUUGACAAUAGAAAUGUCUAAAGUUAAAUGUCAAAGUCAGUGAUCCCAGUUCUGUAUUGUAUAGAUUCAUCAUCGGUUCUAAUGCUGUAUUUCGUUCUGAAAUAUAUGCAACUCACAAAUCUGCAGAGAAAAUUUUUCUUCAUUUCUAAAUAGAAUUAUCUCAACUGUGGAAUGUAGUUUGAUUAUGAAAAUAUACUUUUCUCCUUGAUUCAUUCAGAACAAGCGUGUAUUUAUGUCAUUUUUCUGUCAGCAACUAGUCUCCAUGCUAAUAGUGGGAAGAUGAAUGGCUCAUCAACCCUGCGGGACCUGGGCUUGCAGUCUACACAGACAGUUGCACAUGCAGAUUACAACCAAUAGCACACUGAGAUGAUUCUUAAGAGUGACGUAGAAUGUGAACACAGAUGAAGAGGUAGUUCAUUCUUCUUAAUUUUUCGACCUUUCUAGUUAUAUCAAAAUGUCAGGAAGUAAGGCAUAUCAGUCAGGGAAUAUAAUGGCUGUUUGGAGCUGCCAUAGGUGACAUUGGCAUCCUGUCAUUAAGGUAGAUGCAGGUGAAACCUGCUCUCCUUGGGACUGCUGUGGUUAUUUGUUCUAUAAUGAGGCGUAACUUGGAAACUGUAGGAUUCUGGAAAGUCUAGCCAAUCGGUCAGGCUGUUCAGCAGUCAGAAGAUUGGAAGAUUCUCUAAAUGUUUAUCAGUUUAAUGCUGACUGGGAAUAUUUGUUAUUUUUAUCCACUUCACUAAGAAUACAGAUUCCUGAAACCAACCUAAUGACUUACUAUGUAGCUGAUACAGGUCAAAACCCUAAUACCACAAAAUCUCAGAAUGUCAAGAUUCAGAUGCUCCCAGAUGCCAAACAAAUCACCAUGUGCAAAAAAUGUAAAAAUCCAGGGAAUAAGAUAGAUUUUAUCAUAAUUGGAAUCUCAAAACAUGAUUGGAGUUUUAACAUCAUACAUAUAUAUGAUAUUGUGCAUAUAUAUACACUAUAAAUAUAUAUAUACACACUAUAAAUAUAUAUACUUAUAUGCCUUAUAUGAGUAUCAAUUCUCUCUUGUGUUUUCUGUCUCUAUAUCUUUCUCUGUAUAUAUUUGUGUAAGUAUGUGUGUACUAUAUAUGAGAAGCACAUAUAGAAAUAGGUAUAUACAUACCAUAUAUGUGUACUGUGUCUAUAUACGCCUACAUAUGCAUAUAAAUAUUCUACCUGAGUGACUUUGGGCACAGCAUAGACACUACUGUAACCAUCACUCACUAAUUCCUAUUUAAAGGGAAAUAUGAUCUCUUACCAUAUAAUAUUUAUAUCUAGUCACAUUUACCAAAAAUUUGUAGCAGACACAAAACUAUUUGCUACUUAAGGCAUUUUAAUAAUGUCUUAGAUUUAAUAACACUGUUCAAUAUAUUUUUAUAAAUCCUCACUAAUACAGUGAGGAUCUUUUACUUUAUUUGUUUAACUUCCAUGCUACAGAGAAUGUAUUCUUAAAAAAUGAACGUCAAUUUUAAAUUGCAGUUAUUCAAAAGCAAAGAUUACUUUUACAUGAGUGAUCCUAUCAAUUUAAUCUCCAUCCAGUACUUACAUUUAUAUAUUCAGGCAUAUGUAUACAUUAAUCUUUUGUAACUUAAGAAAAACAGCAAUACAUCUGAUCUUUUUGUGGUAUGUUAGAAAAUUAUCACUUGAGUAGUAACUAUUUGAAAGCAUAAAUCACUAUCAUAGGCUUUUCUAGAAUAAUCUCUGCAUGUAGACCUUAUAAUUUCUUGUAGCUUCUGGAAAUAGUGACCCUGUUGCAUGGUUCUAUGGCAUUAGUGUUUUUCACAAAAAAAUGGCAUCAGACAAGAGAACUUCAGUGUUAGUACUUGUCAGAAUAUAGCCCUCAUUUUACUUAUUUAUUUAUUUAUUUAUUUUUCCUGUUCCCAGACUUGAGCUCAAGACCUCACGCUUGCCAGGCAGGUGCUGUGCCCCUGAGGUAAAUCCCUAGCCCCCUAGCCCUCAUUUUAAAUGAUGGCAAAGACAUUUCAAAAUUAGCUUUAUAAAAACAUAAUUAAAUCACAGUAUAUAUUUUCAUGCAAUUAUAAAUAUGUACUUAAAGCUCUUACUGUACAGCGAUUAGUAAAUUAUGUCCUUGGUAUAUAAUUAUUAGGAUGUAUACUUUACCCAACUUUUUAGAAAUCAGUCUGUAUUUAGGAACAUACAUGAAUAGAACUUUUAGAAUAAAAAUGAUACAGAGUUUCAAAACAAGAUGACAGGAAAUUAACAAUAGUUAUUAUAUUCCAUAUUGUUUUCUUCAAAGUAGUUGUUCAGAUUACCAGACAGGUAUGCAAAAUUGAUCAAACAAUAUGACUAACUGUUCCUUUCAAUGAACUAAUAAAAAUUAGUAGUACAAUUAUCUUAGCUAUCUUGUGUGUGUGUAUACAUAUA